AAAUGGUGCAUUUCCCACACAGGUGGGAAGCAAGAACCCUCCUCCCCUAACUCGGCCUUUACCUUGGAAUCUGAGACCCUGGCCCUGCAGGAUGAAGGAGAGUCAGGACAGCAGCCUCCCUCGGGGUCGGCGCCGUGACCCCCGCCGCCCGCACCCCCGUCUGCUCUGCAGGCUCCGGAUCCUCCUCCCCGGGCCAGAGCUAGGAUGCGUGUGAUGGCUUGUGGGGUGCCCCGUGCCCCCCGCACCCGCCUGCCCGGGUCUGUGGCACGGCCGUGCAGCCCCGACCCGUUUCUGAACUUCCGUGGGCCUCUGCUUCCUUGUAAACAGGGACAGUCGCAAGCUCGUCCGGGGGCCCCGCUCAUCACGCAGCCUCACAGUGAGGCCACCCGCAGCCGCACCACCGCCCACUGCCCAUGGGCCUUCCUCAGGCCGUCCCCAAAUCUGACGACUUCGUACACUGCUCUUCCCCAGGGAAGGGGCCGUAGCUCAGGACGCUGCACCUGGGUCACGUUCGAAUGCACCCCCGUGCUGAUUUCCGGCCAGCCAGCAGCCCUUCCUCGGGGGGUCGGGGCUCAGGAAGGCUCGGGCUCGGCUCCGAUCCUGCUGACUGGGAGCGUGAUGCCAAGGCCUCCUGGUUAUGCAAAUGUGAACGAUGCGAUCGAUCGAGUCUAUGGAUCCGAGGUUUAGUCUAAUCCAGUAGCGACUCGAGAUCGAAGUGCAUUUGCGAGACGGAGCUCCGCGCUUGACAAGCGUUCAGUUCACACACAAAUCACACACCGGUGAUCCCUCGAGGUCAGAGGGAGAACAACACACACACCGUGUACGAUAACAAGAGGGGGUCGCUUUCAUGGAACCAGACCCUGGGCUCAACGGAUUGCUGCGGAUUACCCCACUUAAUCCCCGUGCAGACCUACCAGGUAGGGGCCUUGAAUGCCAGGCCGAGGAUCCCACGGUUUGUUGACCGACAAGGAGAUCUCUGGACAUGUCACAUAUGCAGACAAAUACCCUCAUCGGUGACAAGCUGACAUCCUGCGGGCAUCUCAUGUCAGUAAAGGGCCAGUGAUCAAUGUGUGACCCGAAGAAUAAGCUUUAUUUUCCUCCUACUUCCACUGCCUGUUUGUUCUAAAAGUUUAUGAGUGUAAUAAAUGUCCAGUAAAAUCUUUGACCUUGUACGUAGUCAUAAAUUUACAGAUAAAAGUGAACCGUACCGAGGGGAAGCACUGCCGUGAAUUCCCAGGUAGCUGUCACUGCUUCUACGUCUCUAAAUACUCAAGCAAAAACCUGCAUCUUAAGCAGCAUCUAUAACGAGCAUAGAACUUUCCUUCCUAAAAGAAUAGUACCAGACUCUCCCCUCCUCAUUAUGUAUUCUUGGGUCACCGAUUGAAUCAGUUGGCUACGUGUGUGAGUUAUUUCUGGGCUCCCCGUGCUGUUCUCUUGGUUCUGUGUGUCUGUCUUCGUGCCAGGACCGCACUGUCUUGGUCUCUCCAACAGAUGGUCCUGGGAAAGCUGGACGUCCACAGGCAGAAGAAUGAAAUUGGACACUUACAUUGCAUCACGCACACAAAAAUCAACUCAGAGUGCAUUAAAGACAAACAUAAGACCUGAAACCGUAAGGCUCCGGGGAGAAAAUACACGGGGAAAGCUUGUUGGCAUUGAUCUCGGCACUCAUUUGACCAAUUUGACACCAAGGCCACGGGCGGCGGAAGCAAAAAUAAACCAGCAGGACCGCGUGGGACUGAGGAGCUGAUGACAACGAAGGAAAGCAGCAACGAAUGCAAAGGCAGCCUGUGGGCUAGGACAGAAUAGUCCCAAGCCAGAUACGCGAUACGGGGCUAAUACCCACAUUAUAUAAAGAACUCUUACGAAGAAUUCCUGAUGGAUGACAAGAGGAAUUAUAUAAAGAACCCUAAAAAUAAAAAAUAGGCCGAGGAUAUGAAUAGAUCUUUCUCCAAGGAAAUACAAACGGUCAGCGGAUGUGCAAGAAGGAGUUCAACGUCCCUCAUCGUCAGGGAGACACAAGUCAAAACCACAAGGAGAGAUCACCUCACACCUGUUAGGGUGGCGAGAAUCCUUAAAAAAAACAAAAACAAAAGUAAGUGUUGGGGAAGAUGCAGAGAAAUCAGAACUCUCCGAUUUCACCCUCGGCAUGUCAAGUGGUGCCGCCGUAGUGGGAAAGUGUGCAAGUGCCUCACAAAAUUAAAAAUAGAAUUACCUCAAGACCCGGCGAUCCCACUUCUGGAUAAACAUCCGACAUCAUGGAAAUCAGGUUUUCGAAGAGAUGUGCCCACCGCUGGGCUGCCUGCAGCGUUACCCCGGCAGCCAAGGUGGGGCGGCCACCGGAGGUCUGCCCGCCGCGAACGAGAGCAUUGCACGCACACGCGCACGCACACGCACACGGCCGAAUGCGAGCGACCUUUGGAAAGGAGGAGAGCCCGCACCGGGGGACAACACGGUUCAACUGAGGACACGGUGUGAGGCCAAACAAACCAGAGCACCAGGUGAUUCCACCUACGGGUGGAAUCCCUGCCAGCAGAGCACAGAGCCCUGGGGCGGCGGAGGGGGACGGUACCCACAGGUGGCGCAGUCCCCGGUACGGGCCAGGAGGCCCCGGGCUCUGCCUACCGACCGUGCGGUGGCCGUGUGUCCCGCUCCGACGUCGAGCGCCAUCAGGGAAGGCAGCACGGGGCUCUCGGGCCACAGGCCAAGCACGUCUCAGGCCGAGCAGACGGGGCGGUGUGUCCAGGCCCCGAGUCUUGUCCGCGUGGCCACGCCAUCAGCAGCCGGCGGGUCGUCAACGGAUGGAAGGCUGCUCAGAUUUCGGGUUGAGGGAGGCCCCACGAUGUGAACACCCCCGCGUUUACCCCCCUCCUCUACACGUGACGUGAACUAUGAAGUCAGCACCGACUCAAUUCAUCUUUCCGAAGCGGUUCCUAACGACGACAAGCCAACGGCACUUCGCCCCCGGAGAAGCACGGAGGAAAGGAAGGUGCAGAGAUGGAGCCGUGUGGACAGAAUGCACUUCUGCAGAACUGUCUGCCGGUCGUAACUAAAUCUACGCGGCAGCCGCUUGGCCGACGCUGGUGAGGACGUGC
This is a long non-coding RNA of Canis lupus familiaris (dog), 3092 nucleotides long. RefSeq lists it as uncharacterized. The record is from RefSeq and is a predicted model, not a curated record. The transcript is spliced from 3 exons. NCBI's taxonomy places the organism in Eukaryota, Metazoa, Chordata, Mammalia, Carnivora, Canidae.